Molecule: unclassified non-coding RNA, 200 nt
Filed under: Acrocalymma sp.
Lineage: Eukaryota; Fungi; Ascomycota; Dothideomycetes; Pleosporales; Acrocalymmaceae
Description: partial internal transcribed spacer 2
Source: RNAcentral
UUAAGUUCAGCGGGUAUCCCUACCUGAUCCGAGGUCAAGAGUAAAAAAGGGCUUCUGGAUGCCAAUGUACCAGCAUAGAGUACGCAAUGUGCUGCGCUCAAAGCCGAAUUACAUGGCUGCCAAUUACUUUAAGGCGAGUCCACGCGCAAUAGCGGGACAAACACCCAACACAAGCAGAGCUUGAGGGUUCAAAUGACGCU